AAAUAAGAAGCAAUAUAAUGCAAUUAGUUUCGACCUAAUAAAAAGAUAUUUAAUUAUCCUUAUUUA
Molecule: transfer RNA, 66 nt
Filed under: Chorisoserrata biceps
Lineage: Eukaryota; Metazoa; Arthropoda; Insecta; Blattodea; Pseudophyllodromiidae
Description: tRNA-Arg
Source: RNAcentral